UAGUCCACGCCGUAAACGAUGAUAACUAGUUGUUUGUGAUACACAAUAAGCGACAAAGCGAAAGCAUUAAGUUAUCCACCUGGGGAGUACGUUGGCAACAAUGAAACUCAAAGGAAUUGACGGGGGCCCGCACAAGCGGAGGAACAUGUGGUUUAAUUCGAUGAUACGCGAGGAACCUUACCCGGACUUAAAUGUAGAGUGACAGGUUUAGAGAUAGACUUUUCUUCGGACACUUUACAAGGUGCUGCAUGGUUGUCGUCAGCUCGUGCCGUAAGGUGUCGGGUUAAGUCCCAUAACGAGCGCAACCCCUAUCGUUAGUUGCCAGCAAGUAAAGUUGGGGACUCUAACGAGACUGCCUUCGCAAGGAGUGAGGAAGGCGGGGAUGACGUCAAAUCAUCAUGGCCCUUACGCCCAGGGCGACACACGUGCUACAAUGGACGGUACAGCGGGUAGCCAACUAGCAAUAGUGAGCCAAUCCCUAAAAGCCGUUCUCAGUUCGAAUUGGAGUCUGCAACUCGACU
Molecule: ribosomal RNA, 521 nt
Filed under: uncultured bacterium
Lineage: Bacteria
Description: bacterial SSU rRNA
Rfam family: Bacterial small subunit ribosomal RNA
Source: RNAcentral